This 894-nucleotide long non-coding RNA is filed under the name Homo sapiens (human). RNAcentral describes it as "scavenger receptor class F member 1 (ENSG00000276336.4)". Lineage: Eukaryota; Metazoa; Chordata; Mammalia; Primates; Hominidae. The record is from RNAcentral.
UACAUGGGCAGUGGAUGGAAGGGGGCCCCUGGCUGGGCUCUCUGCCCUCUCUGGCAGAAAGAGAGGGAAGGGAAAGGGGUUGGGAAGCAGGAGAGCCAGAGGGUGGGCAUCAGGAAUCAAGGAAUCACUAGGGGAAAGGUGGCUUCUCCCGACACCCUGGCGGGCAGUAUCCAGGCCUGAGAUCAGGAGAAAGCCAGCUCUCCUCCAGCCCAGCAGAGAUCCAUCUCGGCAGGGAGGAGCAGGCAUGGAGGAAGGCCCACCAACCUCGGUGCCACGCUCUGGGCUGCCCGGGCCAGUACUGGGGCCCCGACUGCCGUGAGAGCUGCCCCUGCCACCCGCACGGCCAGUGCGAGCCAGCCACGGGCGCGUGCCAGUGCCAGGCCGACCGCUGGGGAGCCCGCUGCGAGUUCCCGUGCGCCUGCGGCCCCCACGGGCGCUGCGACCCCGCGACCGGCGUGUGCCACUGCGAACCCGGCUGGUGGUCGUCCACGUGCCGCCGCCCGUGCCAGUGCAACACCGCGGCGGCGCGCUGCGAGCAGGCCACGGGCGCCUGCGUGUGCAAGCCGGGCUGGUGGGGGCGCCGCUGCAGCUUCCGCUGCAACUGCCACGGCUCCCCGUGCGAGCAGGACUCCGGCCGCUGCGCCUGCCGGCCGGGCUGGUGGGGUCCCGAAUGCCAGCAGCAGUGCGAGUGUGUGCGGGGCCGCUGCAGCGCCGCCUCCGGCGAGUGCACCUGCCCGCCCGGCUUCCGCGGAGCGCGCUGCGAGCUGCCCUGCCCGGCAGGCAGCCACGGGGUGCAGUGCGCACACAGCUGUGGCCGCUGCAAACACAAUGAGCCGUGCUCUCCAGACACAGGCAGCUGUGAGUCCUGCGAGCCGGGCUGGAACGGGACCCAGU